Long non-coding RNA from Eufriesea mexicana, 743 nucleotides. RefSeq lists it as uncharacterized. The record is from RefSeq and is a predicted model, not a curated record. Lineage: Eukaryota; Metazoa; Arthropoda; Insecta; Hymenoptera; Apidae. The transcript has 4 exons.
ACGAGAGAUCGAGUAACUGGCGUGGAGUUAAUCGAGUUAAUCCGGAGAUACUGCGAUAUUAGGAUAAUCCUCCUGAAACGGAGAAUUAUUACGUCGGAUAACGAUACAUUCGUCAACCUUCCGUUUAUCCUUACCACUUACACGGUCUGAGACUAACAAGGAACGCUUUUGGACACUUCUGGCACAAGGAUGCGGGCAAUGAUGCAACUCGGGGAGAAAACAGAGGGAAAAGAAAUUUGCUCGUAAGGAAAGAGAGGUCAAGGCUUUUCUCCGUGUCGAUGCGGCGCGGCAACAAUUAAGAAGCACCUCGUCCGGCUCGUUAUCCCGCACUUCUCGGGCUCCGAGAUUCACCCAGGCAAAAAGCACUUUCACGAAACGAAGGUCUGGUUGCGAAAUCGAUCGAGGUUUCAUCGACGGGCUGGCAAGCUCGCGAGGAUGGCUGGCCGAGACGCGCGAAACUCGUGGAAACAACGAGACACGGGGGAACGAGCGCGUUUUGCAACGCGGAAAUCGACACGGCUGGAAAAUUGACAGCGUCAUUUUCGUCGAGGCGCUUGACACGAAGUAAAAGCAGUUUCGAGCAAAUUCUAGCCGCAGAGAAUAAGCGAGAUGCACGAGAAAGUAAAGCGGACACUUUUUCAACGCAUGACUGACGAGGAAAGAAUAGCUACUCGAAGAUAUCGAUCGCACUGGACACGAGGAACGCGCCGAACCGAGAGAAAACUAGGCGACUCACCUGGCUC